Molecule: long non-coding RNA, 4750 nt
Organism: Diceros bicornis minor
Lineage: Eukaryota; Metazoa; Chordata; Mammalia; Perissodactyla; Rhinocerotidae
Exons: 3
Source: RefSeq, a predicted model, not a curated record
UCUGUACACAUAGUAUCAUGUCAUCUGCAAAUAGUGACAGUUUUACUUCUUCCUUUCCAAUUUGGAUGGCUUUUAUUUAUUUUUUUUCCAUCUAAUUCUUAUGUUCAUUGCAGCAUUAUUUAUAAUAGCCAAGAUAUGGAAGCAAUCUAAGCAUCCAUUGAUGGGCGAGUGAGUAAAGAAGAUGUGGUAUAUACACCAAAUGAAAUAUUACUCAGCCAUAAAAAAGAAUGAAAUCUUGCCAUUUGAACAACGUGGAUGAUCACAGAGGGUAUUAUGCUGAGUGAAAUAAGGUAGACAGAAAAAGACAAAUACUAAUGAUUUCACUUAUAUGUGAAAUCUAGAAAACAAAACAAACAAAACAAAACAGAAACAGACUCAUAGAUACAGGAAACAAACUGGUGGUUACCAGAGUGGGGAUGGUUGGAGGGGGCGUGUGAAAUAGGUGAAGGGGACUAAGAGGCACAAACAUCUAGUUAUAAAAUAAAUAAGUCAUGGUGAUGUAAUGUACAGCAUAGGGAAUAUAGUCAAUAAUAUCGUAAUAACUUUGUACGGUGACAGAUGGUAACUAGACUUAUUGUGGUGAUCAUUUCAUAAUAUACGUAAAUAUUGAAUCACUGUGAUGCAGACCUGAAACUAAUAUGAUAUUGUACGUUGAUUAUCCUUCAAUUAAAAAAAAAAAAAAAAGCUUUACAAAUACUCAGUUAAACCUCAUGGAUCCUAUGAGAAAAGAAUUAUUAUUACCAUCAAGGCUAGGUUACAGCUGAGGAAACUGAGACACAAUUUCUUACUCGAGAAACUUACCAAGGUCACACAGCUGCUCAGUGCCAAGAGUUUCAGUUUAAACCCACGAAGGCUGGCCCCAGAGGUCAUGCCCUUAACCACCACACUACUCUUCAGAAAUCAGCAAUCUGAUGAGCAUUUAGCUUCCAACGUAGGCCUUUGCCAGUUUUAUUCCAAAUUCGGGGACAGAUUAUGGAACCAGUCCUUAAAGGACAGAGACCCUGAGCUCAGCAGCAAACAAUGCCCUCAGGUAAAAGUAAUGAGGCACAGUUCUCCCUGGGGAAACACAGUUAAGAAAAUAUGGCAUCAUUUUCCUCCAAGAACAUCUUUUCUGCCCGUCUCCUCCUUGUCAGUCUUCCCAUCAGGAAAAUGGGCAUGCACAAUAUGCACCCAUGGCAAUAGACACAAGACCUAAUUAGCACCUGAAAUGUAUGUCAAGAUCCUCUGCUAGAGGUGCUGUAAUGAGGGCAAAGUAUUCUCACAUAAAUUCCAGUUUUGUAUCCUGUGGCCCGUUCCUCUCCCGGCAGGAGGUGGUGCCCUGUCUUGUUGAGAUCUGAUCUCUUAAAUGCAACCACGUGUCUUCUUUCAUCCAAAUGACUGUGCUCAUCUCAGGAACAGCCUUUAAUUUUCUUCUUGGAACUGAGGACCAUCCUUACUUACAGCAACAAAGGUCCGUAGGAUGGUGAAGUAAGAUUUGAAUUAAGAUACCUUGGCAUAUUUCACUUCACAGCAAUUAACGGGCAACAGGUUUUUAGCAGCACCCACUUUCUUAAGUGCAGUUACUCUUUGCCUCAAGAAUCCCUGUCUAUCAUGUUAUCAAGUGGUCCUGAUUAAGCAGCUCCCGGCGGCUGCCUCUCUGCAAGGUGAUAAACCAAGUGGAAGUCACAGUUGGGACCUCUCCGCUCUGAGGGCCCAGCCUGAUGGAGAAGCCAUGUGGUUAUCAGGACUCAGUCUGCAUCGCUGACAUCAAAUAUGGCCAAGGCUGCAUGAUUCGGAAAGGUCUGGCUAUCUAGUUGGCCCAUUUUCCAGUUUCUUCCUUACUCUCACCUGCCUUUGGGCCACUGUUGUUCAUUAGCAUCUCUCUUGUGAGAAGAGAGAAAAGGAAAGAAGAGCCAACUUUCGCUUGUCUGUUUGGCUCCUUGUCAGCAACCCUGGUAAGUAUGUAAUCUGAUGGAACCAUGGUCCAAGACGAGAAUUUGGACUCUUUGUCUCUCUCUGCCCCUUGCCAGGCAUGUGAACUCCUGUUAAGGCUUCAAGUCCCAGCCUUCCUAAGGGCCUCCAGGCAAAGUCAGAAGUGAACCACUCCCCACCUGGCUCCCGGAGCCCCUCUCCAGGACGGAGAACACUCAUCACAUUGUGUAGUAAUUAUCAAGGCCCCGUCUGUCUGCUAUUGGACAGGGAGGUCCCCGAGGGUGGAGCUGCCUUCUUUCACCAGCUGAAGUCCCACAGGCUCUGGGCCCGGUGCUUGGCGCAUGACUGGGGUGUAAGAAAUGUACGUUGAAUGAACAAAUAAGCCCAAGUAGACCUUCCUUGUCAUUUCCUCAGAAAAUCAAGAGUUAAUACUUUGAGGAUUUUUUGUUUUGGGUUUUGAUUAUUGGGUUUUUUUUUUCGUAUUUAUUUGUUGUUUUUAAGAAAACAACAUCCCAGAUUCCUAGAGAUUAGAAGAGCUUUUUAACAAAUUGAUUCACCACAUUCAUUCAACAAAUAUUUGUUGACUAUUUGUCAUGUAUCAAGUGCUGUUUUAGGUGCUGGAGAAACAAAACAGACCAAAAAAUCCUGCCUUUGAGAUGCUUGCAUUCUUUUGGUGGCAUUCUCUCUCAGGCCUCUGUGCUACAUUCCAAAUGACAUGUCCACAUUUGACACGGACAAGAAUGACAGAUGGAGAAAAAUCAUCUUUGACCCUUAAAAAUUGGCCAUGUUUUAUGAGGUAAGAGCUUGGGCACAAAAGGUAUUAUAGGAGAGAGCCCAGAAAUGGCUUGAAAUAUAUGUUACUUAUGUUUUAGCUUUUGGAAAUAAAAGCACCCUUCCCAAACUACUAGUUUAUCAAAGCAAUGAAAACAGCAUUUAAAAUUUUAAUUUUUCUUUUUUCAUCAAGACAUAACUUACAUAAAGUGCAGAAAUCUUAAGUGUACACCUUGAUAACUUUUUAAUUUUUACACUUGCACAUACCCAUGGGGCCACCACCCAUGGUUUACCCACCCACACCACCACGGAGCCACUUAGGAAAAGAAGGAAAGCACCUGCCCAUGACAAGCCCUCUGCUGCACACCUGGGUAUAUGAAUAAAAAUACAGUCCCUGCCUUAGGAGGACCCCAAAGUUUAUUGUGAGAGAUGAACUGAUAAUUAAAUAAAUCAUAAUAUAGUCAUGUUUUCCAUAUACAACAGUAAAGGAGUGUGAAAGUGCUGUGAAAUCCAAAGGGAGGAGUUGGUUCUUAUGGGAAGGAGGAAGCAUGAGGAUUGAGGAAGACUUCAUAGAACACUGGACUGGGAGUCAGGCUGUCAGUUUUGAAAUGGGGUUUGAAGGAUGAGUCAGAGUGUACUAUGCAGAAAUGCAUGAAAAGACAUUCCAGAUAGUAGGCACAGCUAAAAAAUGGCAUGGGGUAAGCACAAGUUCUGGGAAUGCUGAGUAGCUUAGUGUUACUACAGCAUAGGGUACUUUGGUGACAUGAUGGGAACUGGAGAAGCAGGUGGGGCCCAGAAUUCAGAAGGCCUUGGACACCAGCCUGAGGGGUUAGAUUUGCUCCUAACAAGCCAUGUACUCCCCGAAGGCUUUUGAGGACCUCUUCAGCUGUUAGAUUGGUUGGGCACUAUUCCUUGGUCCUCUGUCUCUAGAACUGAGCCACUGCUCUUCUUCCGGGUCCACUGUUUCUUCCGGGUCCUCUGAUCCCCUUGGCUCUACACAGCUCCUGAGGUUUGCCUCAGGUUUCGAGGCUUUGAAAACUGUCUGGAUUUGGCAUUGAGUGAUCUUUUUCAGAAAGGAUUUGGUAGUCUCCCUCUGGCCCCAUACACUGUAGGCAAAUGGCACUGAUGUUCUGGACUUGGGUCAGCUCAGUCUGUUCUCCCAAGGGAGGACUAGGUGUUCAGUCUUUUUUGAGUUCCAUGUUUAGUUCUUAAGGAUUUGCAAUCACCACUGAAUGAGUGUGAGCUUGUUAGUGGUCUUCCUGUUCAACCAGGGGGUUACUUAACCAGAUAAGGACAGAGCUGAGACCAAAACUCAGGUGUCCUGACUCCCAGUCCAGUGCUCUUUCUGGAGUGCUCGUUUCUGGCCUAGCUAGUUAUGGGACAGACCAAAUGUACUUGUCUACCUCACACCCACAGGGUCGUGAUUGAGAGCUGGGUCUAAGGGAAGGCCGUGUUCUCAGAAUCAAUUCUGUGUUGUAUCUCAAGCCAGACGGUAUGAUUUUAUGUCUUUUAAUACCUCCCUUUCUUCUUCUGUAAAUUGGGAGCAGCACCUACUUAAUCCUUCAGCUGCAGCUACAGCAGAGACUGGGGUGUGGUGGGGUCGUUUGUUUUGUGAUGGGUGAGGGAUGACGGAUCUUUGUUCAAGUCGUAGAAUCUUAGAGUUACAGCUGGAAGGAACAUCGGAGGUGAUCUGUGGUGACAGGCAACCUCUCGUGGCCGACUGAGUAUGGAACACUUCCUAGCGCCAGAGGCAGCUUCCUGUCUUUGGAAAUGUUCAAGCUGAGAAAGGAUGUUCAAGCUGAAGAGAUCCCGCUUUAACCGGCCUUUCUGCACAGAAGAGAUGACUGGAUGGGAGACUCCAUGGUUUCCGGCUUCUGCACACAUUUUCUCUAAUACCAGCUCAGCUCGUUUCUAUCUUGCUCCAAAACAGAAGGGAGUAGCUUCGCGGCUCUGUUUCCCGCCGCCUCGAGAGCGGAAAGGAGACCAGCCGAGACCGGAGGCGGCGCCCCUACCCGCCGGGCAGCGAGCCGGCCCCUCGGCUCCCGGAUGGGCCUGUGGGCGGGGCCUG